Long non-coding RNA from Monodelphis domestica (gray short-tailed opossum), 271 nucleotides. RefSeq lists it as uncharacterized. NCBI's taxonomy places the organism in Eukaryota, Metazoa, Chordata, Mammalia, Didelphimorphia, Didelphidae. The record is from RefSeq and is a predicted model, not a curated record.
UGUCACUUCCUCUCUCUGGGGCUCUUUCUCAGGUUAGACAUGGCUCUUGGUAGUGUGCUGGGCGUCUUGGCAUGCUUGCAGCUCUUGUCCAGGUUUGGUGGUGAGCGUCCUUGGUGAGGUGACUGGGAGAAGCUCAGUAGCAUGGGUCAGGGAGGAAAUGUGAGAGAGAGAGAAGAUGGAUUUUGGUUAACUGAAAAAAAAGAAAAUUGAAUCAAAUAAAGAAAUGAUAAUGACAAGACUUUUUUUUAAAUAUUAAAAAGAAAAGAUUGCA